This 160-nucleotide ribosomal RNA is filed under the name uncultured Escherichia sp. Its description in RNAcentral is "partial 16S ribosomal RNA". It matches the Rfam family "Bacterial small subunit ribosomal RNA", at positions 355 to 507 of the family's 1533-position model. Lineage: Bacteria; Pseudomonadati; Pseudomonadota; Gammaproteobacteria; Enterobacterales; Enterobacteriaceae. The record is from RNAcentral.
UGGGGAAUAUUGCACAAUGGGCGCAAGCCUGAUGCAGCCAUGCCGCGUGUAUGAAGAAGGCCUUCGGGUUGUAAAGUACUUUCAGCGGGGAGGAAGGCGAUGCGGUUAAUAACCGCGUCGAUUGACGUUACCCGCAGAAGAAGCACCGGCUAACUCCGUG